AAAUCCGGAUAAUCGAGGUACGGAUAAUCGAGGUUCGACUGUAAUGAAAAUAGUUGUAGAUUGUGGAUUUCUUGUCCAGGUAAACCAAUUAAAUCAGAGAAAGAGGGGGUAUUAGACUGAGCAAAUCAGAAGAUAAAAAGUUUAAAGACAAUAAUUUUAUUAAUGUGCUGCAUAUUAGUGGGAGGUGGGAAACAGUAGAGAACAGUACAUGUAGUUGUGAAGGCUCAGAGCAACCCUUACACGUAACAAGUUGGUUAGUAGCCUUGGCUCUGGUCGCCCUGCCAGUAAAAGCUUUUGAAUGGAAUGGAACGGAAUGGUGACAGCUUACAGAGAGGAAACUGCUCUAUGAUGGAAGACAUGAUGCUUGGAUAGCACAACUGCAAGAAGUUUGUAAGCUCCCUUCCUUUCUGGGCCCAAAUUCCAUCACCAGAUUUGGCUAAUGGAAUGUUAGUGCUAACUGUGCAUGAGGCAGGAAGAAUAGUGCAGGUGGCCAGGGAAAUGGUGCAAUACAAGACCAGCAUCUAAGGAGUGAGGGAAAGUGGGAUGUAUUGAUCAGAAAUAUGAUGGAAAAUGACCAAGGAUGAUCACCAAAGUCAGGAAAAUGUGUGAACAGAUGACAUCACGAUUGAAUUACAAAGACGAAAUGGUGAUGCCUCAGCAUUAUAUUGAGCAAGGAUAAGGGUAGUAUCACAAAAUAAGCAGUGUUGUGGAUACCAGAUAGAAAAAGGAAGCUGGGAUCACCGAAAAUAAGAAGGACUGAAGCAAAACAGCCAGGCUCAUGUCUCUGUCAUGGAGUUAGGCCCAAGCAGUACAUGUAGUACAGGAACAGACCAGCUGGAGGAAUACUAUGGAGGCCUUAAGCAUAAUUUUGUUAUGGCAUGAAAAGAACAGAAGCUCGAUGAACAGAUGUAACUUCAUAACUGUUUAUGCCUGUUGUCAACAAAUUUCCGCACUGGAGAGUAAAACUUACCAAGACUGAAACUCAAAUUUUCGUGGAAAAAAAUAUUUGCUUUGAUUUUCAACAAAACUUUUUAACUUCUCUGAAGAAUUUCAGCCAAGCAAAGUGGCAAGAAUUUUGUUCUGGUUACAUUUUAACCUGUGCUGAAACCUUUUCUCCACGCUCUUGUUUGAUUGAAGACACAGUCACUAUGCAUGCCCAAGUUCUCUUUACAGCCUGGGUUGAAAUUCUAGAAAAUUUCAUGAGAAACCAUGAUCUAAGUGAGUAUCAAGCUUUGCAUGAUACAUGUACAUGAUCAUCAAUUUAAGGCAUUUGCACGAAAAUGUUGAGAGAGCAGUGGAAAUCAAGCAUGUAGGUGUAUGAUGAUGCCACAUGUAAUACCUGAAUGGAAGUGGUAACUUGGUUUCUUGGUCAAUGACUUUCUCCAGAUGAAAUGUGCUUUUCCAUGUUGUCAUUAUAUCUGAUCAUUUUUGUUUUUACCCAUCACAGUUUGCUAAGACAUAAUCACAAGUUUCACAUAGAAUAUUCUGAGAGCAUUUCGAAGUUUUUUUGGUAAGCAAACUGUGGGCUAAUAUGUCCAUGAUGUCAAAGAUGAAGAAAGAUUCAAGAAUUUCAAUGCAAAGGUAGCACCCAAACAGAAGAAUGUAAUAUUAUUUGCUGUCAUGCAAUGUGCUACUUUAUAGGAUCCUCCAAUUUCCUCCCUGAAAUUAGCCACUCUCCUUAGAUGGGAUGAUAGACCCAGUUGAGCCCACAGGUGACGCCUGCUUUAAGAGGCCAGGAGAAGUAACCAAAUGCAGUCUUUUUUCCUUUCAUAUUUAUAUUUGGCAUUUACUGGUUGCUUUUACUUACUUUCCAGGUGCAGUUUAUUUUGAGAUGCAUGCAGUGAUUUCUUCUGCCUGACUGCUUUGUCACUCAAAAAAGGUUGCCUAAUUGUUAUCAGCAUUGUUGCCCGUACGAAAAUUCUGAGCGUGACGUGGUCAAGAUUCUGGCCAUAAAAUACACUGUAUGAUGCUAGUGAUCGAGACAGAAUGUGACGAUAAUCAAGCUGACAAGAGCGAUGAAACUUGAACGAUAAAUAAACGAGAAAGGAGCGAGACAUUUGAACUGCCCUGAGAUUUGGACACACAUCUAAGCAAGAAACCAGUGAAAUUCUGGCCAUAAAAUAGUCACGCUUAUGAGCGAGACCAGAUGAAUGUGACGGCCAAUAAACACUUGAGUACCUGGCAUGAAAAUCAAUAACUCUUUAUAGUUCUGCUAUAUACAACGGCAAUCAUUACCCUCUGCAUAUGACUACAUACAACUACCAAACAUCGCAACAACAGUAAAUAUGACUAAUUUAUAUUAUUUAGUUUUUUUUGUCUGCAAUUUAAGGGUUUGGUUAAAUCAAAAUGGAAACUUUGAAUAGUUACUCUUUGAUUUGGUCGCAUGUGCUGUAAUUAACUGAAAUUAACAAAAAACAAAAUACAAGUCUCAACCAAUUGAAGUAGGGUUCUACUUGGUAGCCAUUUAUAAUUUAUAUGCAGCAAUUAAUCAAAAUUUACGGUGUGCUGAUCUACUUGUGGCAAUUUUGAUUGUAAUCAAACCUCCAAAUUAUCAACCUUAAUUCACGCAAUAUUGUGAGUGACUCAGAUAAGAUAGUUUGGGCUGAAACAAUCUUUAUUAAUUACAAACUCAAGUAGUUGUCCCCCAGGGAGGGAGGGAGGGAACCAAAACUUAACAUUGGGAUCGCACGCAACUAGAACAAGAGACUAACUGAGCACAAGGAGACAUGAACAUGAGACGCAGAGUUAAGCAAUGAGAUCAUAGUCAAUAAUUAACCUAUUCGAUUGUAAUCAAAACUCAAAAUUAUCGACCGUUAUUCAUGCAAUGUUGUGAGUGACUCAGAUAAGACAUGUGUGGGCUGAAACAAUCUUUAUUAAUUACAAGCUCAAGUAGUUGUCCCCAAAAUUAUUUAAACAAAUUGGCCGAAACACGUCGUAAUUGUAGAAAUGUUGAAAUUAAAAUAAAAGAAUAAUAAAAUUAAACUAUAUGAAAACCACUAAUUAAUAAGUGUUAGGAAGAACUGUUUGUGAAGUGUUUGUAAAAAGGCCUGCGGCCAUACUGUCAGCCACCUGUGUACAAGCGGUCAGGGGCAGUGGACUAGGCCAGCCAAGUAAAACUACACAUUUCUUCCUUUGAUUUAUUCAGCAGAAAGCAGCAUUGGUUUUAGUACACAUUUCGUGAAGACAUGUCUGCAAGGUUUUUAAAUGCCAUUAACAUUGACUUUGAAGUUUAACUAAACAAUUUAUCCACUACACUACACAAUAAGCUGCCUCAACACUUGAAAGUCCGCAAUAUUGCACAACACUCGAAAGAAAGCACAUGGAUGAACAUGGAGAUGAUGUCAUUCGCCCCUGAAGAAUUUUUUGGGGGGACCAAAUUGCUGUGCAAAGAAAGAAACAAACCCAAAAACUCAAAUUUUUCUGCAUUAUCCAAUUAGAACUGCCUUCUCUCAAACGCAAAACAUAAUAAUUAAACUCGCUGCAACAUGUUCAGAAAGUUUUGAAAAUUGCAAAAAUGUUCCUAUUCUUUAGCUUAUAUAUGAGUUUAUCACUAAAGAUAUUGACCUGAGGACAACGUUUUGAUAAUUUUCAUCAACUGACAACAUUUUACUCAGAAACUCAAACGGUUGAUCAGUUAGCAGAGAACCUGUAAAACAUCAAACCUCCAACACAGCACUUCGUCUUUUUUCAGUAAAAUUGGUAAACCAAUCAACAUGUUGUCACCUCUUCCUGUCAAGUGUUACUAGCUCAAAGUUCACUUUUAACUCCUGUGAACAGAAGAUCUGUUUUUUCGGUGUGCAAAAUUCAUUUGCGUUGAAGUUUGUGCCUAUGUCUUAAGAGGGGAUAACAAUGCGGUGACAGGCCUACAUGACUCCUAUCCACGUUUAAUAGCUGCUUUCAAAGGCUUGUUCAAAUGAGUAUAUCUCUAAAGGAUAUCGGCCCCUUUUGUAAGGUAUGAUUGGUUGAUUUUGGAUUAAAUGCUAUUGUUUCAUGAAAAUGAGGAUGACAGGCUCAUGACGGACUCUCAUGCUUUGUGACAUUUGUACAUACAUUGUUUUGUUUUCCUAUUUCAGUAUCGUGACCUUUUUUUCCUUCCUCACACUUGUUUCUGAAGGGCACCUUAUGCUGUGUUAUUAGGAGGACAUUUUACCAGAGUACAGGAAGCGUUACGUGACAACCCCAAAAACGGCUGCAGAGGAGACUAUUUAGAGGUCAUAAGUCCGCAUGGUUUCUGCUGUUGUCUGCAUGUAAUUUGUAGAGUUUGACACCCCUGUAAAUAAUUUGCCAUGUGCUAGGUUUUCUAGGCUCAUUAAUUUUACGAUAUGUUUUAAGCUCCCUAAAUAGAAGCUCUGAAGGGACAAAGUCUUAAAUGUUCCGUGAACAUGUUGGUUACUUGCAUUUUGUGUUGUUAUGCCAGGUCCGGCUGUCUGAUCUGACACAAGUUCUGUGCUGCUUCUCAUCACGGGUGUCAUUUUUAACAUGUAUUUAUCUUUGUCCGGCUUUGUCAGCAAUAGCUGUUGCUUUCCUUUUUGAAAGCUGUAAGUUUGUCUUAGAGAGAUGUUCUUACGUUUCUUGCAUCAAUUUUAUCGGGCUUUUAGUCUCUUGAGCUUGAUGUUUAGGUUUAUAUCUCCAGUUUGUUCAUUCUGGCACUGCAAAUAUAGAUGUUCAUGCACAAGUCUGUUGACUGUUUUGCUUGUUGUAUAUGCAGGUAUAUGAUAUGAUGUGUGGUAUUCAGUUCAAGCAAAACGUUGUCUUCUGGCUCUGAAUUUGGGAGUUCUUGUUCCGAGUGUUCCUCCAGCUCCAUAUUGUGGUCUUCAUUGUUUUUAUUUUCAAUGUUGUCAGAUUGUUUUGAGACUGCCAAGUCCCUCUUUUGUUAGGAUGCAGUUAGUUUGUAAUGUUCACAAAAUAGAGACUGAUACGACAUUAUAAGAUAGUAGGGAUAUUGUUUGUUCAAGUUUAAAUUUGUUCUGGAGAUACCAGUCCAGUAUCCAGCAUCUUCACUUUCACGAAAUAAAAAAAGAUACAGGAAGGAAACAAGGACUAGAAAUUAUUGAAGUCUUCAGGUCAAUAUCUUUAGUGACAAACUUGCUCAAGAAUAUGAACAUUUUUGCAAUUUUCAAAACUUUCCUAACAUUUUCCAACGAGCUGAAGAUAUUUUGACUACUGUGAUGUCAUUUUUUAUUAUUUUAUUAUUAAAUUUUAAUAUCAUUUUCUAAUUGUUCGCUGUCUGCCAUCUGCCAUCAGCAUCCACGUUUACAGCACCCAAAACAGUCUACUGGUAAAUAUUUUUGGAGUGGAAACUACCUAAACUAAAAUGCCAAGGAGUUCUUUGGAGCACAUUAUAGGAAAUUUGAGGCACAUUGUUCUGCAGUACGUAGGAGCAGACACAGACUUGUGGUGUAGCAUGGCAUAUCUUUGAGUUUUUCGUCGCAUGCAAUGUGAACACUGUGAGGCCUCUGUGAGGCCUCUAACGAAAGCUGAAAACUACACAAAAAUGCAAGCUGGGAGAGAAUAAGCUACUUGAAAUGAAUAUUUUGAUGCAAAAGAACAAUCCUGUUAUAUUUUAGUUUUGCAUUUAGCAUACUUUUAUGGUACGAGGUAUCACACUGAUAAGCAAGAUUAUGGCCGACAACAAGGUCUGAUAAACGUCACAUCGAAUUUUCUGUACCGGUACUUGUAAAACGAAUUUAGCCAGAAUUACAACGAUAACACAGCCUGACAAAUGUCUCGGUACUGCUGCGCAAGCCAAUAAAUUCAGUUUGUACUCUAUCACGCUAGUUAUUGCCAUAUUAUCAGCAAUGACCAUGCCUGACAAAUGCAUCGUCCAGUCCUACAAGACAGACAAAAUCCUUGUGUCACUUUGUCUUGCUCAGUUUUUGUCCAAAAAUAGCAUUAUGGCCCAAAUCAUGACCUUGCUCAGUCAGGCCAUAAAUUUUUGUAUGGGUGUACAAUUGUUCCAGUAAGCACACAAGACGUAGUAAACCUUAAACGUACCUGAGAGUUCUGACGUCUGUUUUUGCUAUGAAUAUCAUGCACUGAGGUGUAUACAAAUCUAUCCACAUCCUCCAAGAACUUGUAGUCUAAAAGUCCAACAGGUAUAAUAUAUAGAUUUAGCCAAGCCUAAAAGUGGAGCUCCUGGGCUGGGUUGUUCAAAGCCCGAUUAAGCUAACCCAGGAUAAGCGAGAAUUUUGAUUAGAGUUUUGUAACUUUGCAGUGAUGUAUCCUGUACGUUAAUUGUUUGGCGUUCUGUUUCAAGUUUGAAUAAUCUGAAACUACACAAACCAAAGGCAGUGAAAAACAUUUGUAUACAAGAUAAAAUAUACUUCGGUUGACCUUUAAUCAUGGGUUAGCAUUAACCGGCUUCUGUAUAACCUAGCCCUAAUUGCAACAAAUUAACUUGACAUGAGCCCGCGAUCCAAUCGAAAACCAGCACUUGUUCAGCGGUCAAUUAAAAGAAAUGUGACCUCAAUGAGUUUUUAACUUGACCCACAAUAUGGUCACGUGAUACUGGUCAGCAGACACCUUGUUUUACAGGUAUCAAUUGACCAUAACAUGGAUGUCCAUGAUCAAAGAAGGGUGCUAUAAACCAAGGCUGUCAGCCUAUUAGCUGGACUAUGGCCACCAUCUUGCACGACUCUGUUGCCGUCGUCCCCGUCGUUGUGCAUACACGCCCACGAACAAUACUACUAGCCAUUUUUACCAUAAGCAAGGUGAUUCACGGGUUUCUAUGAGUAUGGGACUCUGCUUGGCGGCCCUUUGGACCGCUGGAGCUCUGUUAUGAUAUCUAUUAAAAAUGUAUUGUACAUUAAAGUUUAGCCUUAAUAUUAUGAUAUUACGAUAUUACACCCUUUCCUUCCAGGUGAUCUGGUGACGUCAUUGUGCAAGACUGGAGAGAAAAUUUUAUUGCCGUAUCCCAUAAGGCAGCCCGUGGGUAGUCGUGAGUUUGCAUCUGAAUGAUGGCGGUCACUGCCAGAGCGAGCGUUGCUUUUCAGAAUUAUUUUGUCUUGUCUUAUACUGCACUUGGAACUCGGAAUUGUGCUGUAAAUAUGAGAAGUGUUGAUUUGGACAGUUGGGAAGUCUCUUUCGACGGUGAAUCUUUCCAAUUCUACACUUGGAUGGAAGCGAUUUGAGUACUUGAAUUGCACAACAUGCAGCGCUGGCUGCACUGCAUUGUAAGCUUGAAAAUCACUUGGUGUUUUACUUCAAUUUGUUUCUAAUAGUGUACUUUCUAUACAGUAUUAAAGGUACUGUAUUCCAUCGA
RNAcentral lists this long non-coding RNA (7261 nucleotides) under Orbicella faveolata. Its description in RNAcentral is "uncharacterized LOC110067308". The record is from RNAcentral. Lineage: Eukaryota; Metazoa; Cnidaria; Anthozoa; Scleractinia; Merulinidae.